Molecule: ribosomal RNA, 253 nt
Filed under: uncultured bacterium
Lineage: Bacteria
Description: partial 16S ribosomal RNA
Rfam family: Bacterial small subunit ribosomal RNA
Source: RNAcentral
UACGUAGGGUGCGAGCGUUGUCCGGAAUUAUUGGGCGUAAAGGGCUCGUAGGCGGUUUGUCGCGUCGGGAGUGAAAACCAGGUGCUUAACACCUGGCUUGCUUUCGAUACGGGCAGACUAGAGGUAUUCAGGGGAGAACGGAAUUCCUGGUGUAGCAGUGAAAUGCGUAGAUAUCAGGAGGAAUACCGAUGGCGAAGGCAGGUCUCUGGGCUGACACUGACGCUCAUGCACGAAAGCGUGGGGGGCAAACAGG